GUGGGGAAUAUUGGACAAUGGGCGCAAGCCUGAUCCAGCCAUGCCGCGUGUGUGAAGAAGGCCUUCGGGUUGUAAAGCACUUUCAGUUGGGAGGAAGGCCUGUAAGUUAAUACCUUGCAGGAUUGACGUUACCAACAGAAGAAGCACCGGCUAACUCCGUGCCAGCAGCCGCGGUAAUACGGAGGGUGCAAGCGUUAAUCGGAAUUACUGGGCGUAAAGCGCGCGUAGGUUGGUAGUUAAGCGAGAUGUGAAAUCCCCGGGCUUAACCUGGGAAUUGCGUUUCGAACUGGCUGACUAGAGUACGGUAGAGGGUGGUGGAAUUUCAGGUGUAGCGGUGAAAUGCGUAGAGAUCGGGAGGAACAUCCGUGGCGAAGGCGGCCAUCUGGACCAGCACUGACACUGAGGCACGAAAGCGUGGGGAGCAAACAGGAUUAGAAACCCGAGUAGUCC
RNAcentral lists this ribosomal RNA (450 nucleotides) under uncultured bacterium. RNAcentral describes it as "partial 16S ribosomal RNA". It matches the Rfam family "Bacterial small subunit ribosomal RNA", at positions 354 to 796 of the family's 1533-position model. The record is from RNAcentral.